Molecule: long non-coding RNA, 565 nt
Organism: Talpa occidentalis (Iberian mole)
Lineage: Eukaryota; Metazoa; Chordata; Mammalia; Eulipotyphla; Talpidae
Exons: 3
Source: RefSeq, a predicted model, not a curated record
CUCUGCCUUCGUGAGUGGUGCUGCGUGAGCCUUUGGGAAGCUUCCCGCUGCCGUGCCCCACCCCUUGCUGCAGCUCCCAGAUGCGCGGGUGGCUCUGCACCAGGCACGGGGCUGAAGAUCUUUUCAUUGGACUGCAAAGCAGACACUGCUGUUUCCCAGGCUGUGGAUGAGGAAACAGGCUCAGAAAGGAGAAGCCUCUUCCUGGCAGCCUCCAAUAGGCCUUCGUGGGACUAUAAAACCAAGUUUGUCUCCCGUGUUUCCUAGUCCUCAGGCAGUAAAAUAUUGGUCAAAGCUCCAGGAUGAACGUCUGAAGCCCUGGAAAACCCUCUCUGACUCUCCUGGGGCAGAGCUGCUCUCAUUCUGGCCUCCCAUUGUUUGCCGCUAAGAAUGUCCUGGACACAGACUUAAUGGCAGGCACCAGGAACGCUGCGCUGAAUGAGACCAAAUCAGACCCCAUGCUGAGGAACCCACAUUCUACCCAGGGAGGCCAGCACCAACCCAUCUCACAAUGAUUUAAUUAAAAGUCACCAAGAUGCACUGACCACCUGUCUGCACUAUGUGCUUU